GGUGAGGUAUCCUAGCGGUGAGGUAUCCUAGCGGUGAGGUAUACUAGCGGUGAAGCAGCCCAGCGGUGAGGCAGCCUAGCGGUGAGGUAUCCUAGCGGUGAGGCAGCCUAGCGGUGAGGUAGCCUAGUGGUGAGGUAUCCUACCGGUGAGGUAUCCUAGCGGUGAGGUAGCCUAGCGGUGAGGUAUCCUAGCGGUGAGGUAUCCUAGCGGAGAGGUAUACUAGCGGUGAGGCAGCCCAGCGGUG
This is a long non-coding RNA of Oncorhynchus keta (chum salmon), 244 nucleotides long. RefSeq lists it as uncharacterized. Lineage: Eukaryota; Metazoa; Chordata; Actinopteri; Salmoniformes; Salmonidae. The transcript has 3 exons. The record is from RefSeq and is a predicted model, not a curated record.